This is a long non-coding RNA of Cajanus cajan (pigeon pea), 411 nucleotides long. RefSeq lists it as uncharacterized. The record is from RefSeq and is a predicted model, not a curated record. Lineage: Eukaryota; Viridiplantae; Streptophyta; Magnoliopsida; Fabales; Fabaceae.
UCACACCUUCAUGCAUCUCUCACUUCCUUUCGAUGUAGAAUAUUAUUUUAAUACUCUCCAUGAAGCAGAAACCAAGAUCUUGAUGGUAAUCAGGAUUCAGGCUAUAUUGGCGAUUGUUGUUUUGGUUGAUUUAUGUCAAAUCAAGCAAAGUGCGCCAAAUGAAUGUUGGAUCCGUAGAAGGGUUGAUAUGGCUGAAUGGCUGAUCCUUUUCUCACCGUCAAUGCUAUAAGCACGCGGGGUCACGGAAAUUAAAGAAUAUGCAGAGAAAAUUUUCAUAGCAUAUCCGAGAUUCUUGUUCAUGGUACGGCAUCCAAGAAUUAGGGGUUACAGAUUUCUGUAUUAGUAUGUAAUUGUUCAAUUUUAAUUUUCAUUUACGAUCGAGUCUUUAUCUCUAUUUUUUCAUGAUAAUUU